Molecule: long non-coding RNA, 1896 nt
Filed under: Homo sapiens (human)
Lineage: Eukaryota; Metazoa; Chordata; Mammalia; Primates; Hominidae
Description: non-protein coding lnc-CD93-4:2
Source: RNAcentral
GUCACUGUCGGCCUUGCAAGGCCACCUGGAGGCCUGUCUGUUAGCCAGUGGUGGAGGAGCAAGGCUUCAGGAAGGGCCAGCCACAUGCCAUCUUCCCUGCGAUCAGGCAAAAAAGUGGAAUUAUGAAAUUUGUGAGGUGGAAGAAAAUAAUUGGGACGUCUACCUUCUUUCUCCAGGGUCUGGCUUUCCCAAAAACGUUAUAUCACAAAUGUUUUACUUCAUUGUUGAAAUCGCUGCCUCCUGUCCCACGUGUGUUUGUCGGGGUGUCACGCCCUUGUCUGCUUUCCUUCUCAUCCGUCCUGCAAGUCCUCAUGCCCUGGCCUCUUUUUUCCCUAAAUUCAGCCUUCUGGUGACACUUCAUGUUUGUCUCUUGUAAACAACAAAGCUGGAUUUCACUUUUUUUUUCUUUUAUUCAAUCAAAAGUCGGUGCAAAACAUGCCAGGGUCAUCACAUCUGAAAGCCAAGGGAGUGGUGUGUAGAUACCCAUUGGUAAUGAGUAGAGGGCUGCCCUGGGUGGAGGUGGCGGGUAAUUCCCAGCACUUCCAGAUGACCACACAUGUGGGCAAAGUGGCCUUCCACACUUAGGAUGGGGAAACCUUCAGGUACAGAUGCAGGCCCUGGCAGGUGUACUUCACCUGAGCACAGUGAAAAGUGCAAGCACGAUUUGUUGAGCACUGGCAGCCUCCAGCACACAGCUGUCCUCUAAACUCAGUGCAGACAGUCCUCCCUGCCUCUAGAGGUCAUGCCUCCAUUUCCCCAGGAGGAGCUGUAUCCAUGGGGAUGGAUUUCUCUCUCAGGAGUUUUCUGCUGGCUUUUAUCACUUUAUUCCUUGCAUGAUAGGUCAGUGGCUACAUGACUUGUGUCUUCCUGAGAGACUGUAAGGCACUCAAGAGCAACGGGUACAUCUGUAUUGUGCCUUGCUCACAGUCAAGCCUCAAAAGAUUUUUUAAAUACAAGACCCCGGAUAUGUUAUUUUAUACCACAUAUGUUAUUAAAGCAAUGAAGAGGAAAAAAAUCACUGACCUUUUACUAUGUACCAAAUGGGAAAAUAGUAUUUGCUAUUGAGAAAUAGGUAGUAUUAAUAUCUCCAUUUUAUAGUUAAGGAAAUUGAGGCAGAGAGAAGAUGAGUGGUGAAUUAGAUGAAUGAAAUCUUACACUCUCACUCUUAAUCACUAGGCUUCCCUGCCUCCCAUUAGACAUGAAUAGGAACUGCAAUUGAAAAAGUGUCAACCAGCAAAGAGUGGGGAGAUGAGUGGGCCUCUCAGCCAGUUUCAGAUAGGAAAAGCAGAGUGUUAAGCAAUAUGGGUAUUUUUAAUAAUAUGUUCAAACAAACUUACUUGGGCUUGUGUAUGUACCCCCCAAACACACACACACACACACACACACACACACGCACACACACACUGGGGUAGAACUACUCAAAAGCCCUCUGAUCAGAAAGAUUGUGCAUCCUGAGACCUGCCUUGCCUGCUCUGAGGGCAGAUCCCAGGGAACGCACCCUCACAGUCCCCCCACGUGGCUAUCCCCAGUCUGCCUUGGUGAGAGCAAUGUGUUUGAAUGCAGUAGGAGAGGAAGGGAAGUGGGAAUGUGCAAAUCGCCCCAUGGUCCCGACCUGCUCAGAGGCUACUUCCCAACUGGAACUCUUGCACACGGUAAUAGAAAUGUAAACGGUAUAACUUCUUUAAAAACAGAUGGUUUCUUUCUUAGAAAGUUAAACAUACACUUAACGUACAACCUGACAAUUCUGCUCUUAGAUAUUUAUUUAAGGGAAUGAAGCCAUGAUCUACAUUGUCUUGGCCAUAGAUAUUCACAAGGUUUAUUUAUACAGCUUCGAUCUGGAAAGAACCCAGACAUUCAUCAUUAGGUAGCUGGGUGAAGACUGUGGGUCAUGCACAC